Molecule: non-coding RNA, 118 nt
Filed under: Trachymyrmex cornetzi
Lineage: Eukaryota; Metazoa; Arthropoda; Insecta; Hymenoptera; Formicidae
Description: Eukaryotic large subunit ribosomal RNA
Rfam family: Eukaryotic large subunit ribosomal RNA (bases 1-91)
Source: Rfam by way of RNAcentral
UCAACGUGAAGAAAUUCAAGCAAGCGCGGGUAAACGGCGGGAGUAACUAUGACUCUCUUAAAGUUCUCUCCAUCUUUCGAUAAAGUCAUAGUAGGGACGUUGACGUGUAAUACAUAAA